AUGAACGCUGGCGGCGUGCCUAAUACAUGCAAGUCGAGCGAACAGACGAGGAGCUUGCUCCUCUGACGUUAGCGGCGGACGGGUGAGUAACACGUGGAUAACCUACCUAUAAGACUGGGAUAACUUCGGGAAACCGGAGCUAAUACCGGAUAAUAUAUUGAACCGCAUGGUUCAAUAGUGAAAGACGGUUUUGCUGUCACUUAUAGAUGGAUCCGCGCCGCAUUAGCUAGUUGGUAAGGUAACGGCUUACCAAGGCGACGAUGCGUAGCCGACCUGAGAGGGUGAUCAGCCACACUGGAACUGAGACACGGUCCAGACUCCUACGGGAGGCAGCAGUAGGGAAUCUUCCGCAAAGGGCGAAAGCCUGACGGAGCAACGCCGCGUGAGUGAUGAAGGUCUUCGGAUCGUAAAACUCUGUUAUUAGGGAAGAACAAAUGUGUAAGUAACUAUGCACGUCUUGACGGUACCUAAUCAGAAAGCCACGGCUAACUACGUG
This 496-nucleotide ribosomal RNA is filed under the name uncultured bacterium. RNAcentral's name for it is "partial 16S ribosomal RNA". It matches the Rfam family "Bacterial small subunit ribosomal RNA", at positions 29 to 507 of the family's 1533-position model. The record is from RNAcentral.